RNAcentral lists this ribosomal RNA (251 nucleotides) under uncultured prokaryote. Its description in RNAcentral is "partial 16S rRNA". It matches the Rfam family "Bacterial small subunit ribosomal RNA", at positions 525 to 775 of the family's 1533-position model. The record is from RNAcentral.
ACGGAGGGUGCAAGCGUUAAUCGGAAUUACUGGGCGUAAAGCGCACGCAGGCGGUCUCUUAAGUCAGAUGUGAAAGCCCCGGGCUCAACCUGGGAACUGCAUUUGAAACUGGGAGGCUUGAGUGCCGUAGAGGGGGGUGGAAUUCCAGGUGUAGGGGUGAAAUGCGUAGAUAUCUGGAGGAAUACCAGUGGCGAAGGCGGCCCCCUGGACAGCAACUGACGCUCAGGUGCGAAAGCGUGGGGAUCAAACAG